This 399-nucleotide unclassified non-coding RNA is filed under the name soil metagenome. Its description in RNAcentral is "partial contains 5.8S ribosomal RNA, internal transcribed spacer 2, and large subunit ribosomal RNA". The stretch from base 1 to 122 matches the Rfam family "5.8S ribosomal RNA", at positions 35 to 154 of the family's 154-position model. The record is from RNAcentral.
GAUGAAGAACGCAGCGAAAUGCGAUACUUGGUGUGAAUUGCAGAAUCCCGUGAACCAUCGAGUCUUUGAACGCAAGUUGCGCCUCAAGCCAUUAGGUUGAGGGCACGUCUGCCUGGGCGUCACAUAUCGUUGCCUGAUGCCAGUUUCCUAGUGAUGGGUGACUGUGCAGGGCGAAUGAUGGCUUCCCGUGAGCAUUGUUUCCUCAUGGUUGGUUGAAAAUUGAGUCCUUGGUAGGGAGCGCCGUGAUAGAUGGUGGUUGAGUGACGAACGAGACCCAAUCAUGUGAGACCCCUACCGAAUUUGGCCUUCAUGACCCACAUGCGUCUUUGGAACGCUCAUGACGAGACCUCAGGUCAGGCGGGGCUACCCGCUGAGUUUAAGCAUAUCAUAAGCGGAGGA